RNAcentral lists this ribosomal RNA (791 nucleotides) under uncultured archaeon. RNAcentral's name for it is "bacterial SSU rRNA". It matches the Rfam family "Archaeal small subunit ribosomal RNA", at positions 85 to 879 of the family's 1478-position model. The record is from RNAcentral.
ACGGCUCAGUAACACGUGGACAAUCUGCCCUAAGGUGGGGAAUAAUCUCGGGAAACUGAGCAUAAUACCCCAUAGGUCAUGGAUGCUGGAAUGCUUCAUGGUCAAAAGCUCCGGCGCCUUAGGAUGAGUCUGCGGCCUAUCAGGUAGUAGUGGGUGUAGUGGACCCACUAGCCACUGACGGGUACGGGCGUUGGGAGACGUCGCCCGGAGAUGGAUUCUGAGACACGAAUCCAGGCCCUACGGGGCGCAGCAGUUACGAAAACUUGGCAAUGCGGGAAACCGCGACCAGGGAAUUCCAAGUGCAUGCACUUAGUGUAUGCUGUUCCAUUGUCUUAAAAACAUAGGAAGUAAGGGCUGGGUAAGACAGGUGCCAGCCGCCGCGGUAAUACCUGCAGCCCGAGUGGUGGUCGAUAUUAUUGAGCCUAAAGCGUCCGUAGCCGGACCAGUAAAUUCUUGGGUAAAUCGGGCAGCUUAACUGUCCGACUUCCGAGGAGACUGCUGGUCUUGGGACUGGGAGAGGUCAGAGGUACUCCAGGGGUAGGGGCUAAAUCCUGUAAUCCUUGGGGGACCACCAGUGGCGAAGGCGUCUGACUAGAACGGAUCCGACGGUAAGGGACGAAACCCUGGGUCGCAAACCGGAUUAGAUACCCGGGUAGUCCAGGGCGUAAACGCUGCAGGCUUGGUGUUGAGGAUCCUACGAGGAUGUUCAGUGCCGGAGUGAAGAUGUUAAGCCUGCCGCUUGGGGAGUACGUCCGCAAGGAUGAAACGUAAAGGAAUUGGCGGGGGAGCAC